Molecule: long non-coding RNA, 3781 nt
Organism: Triticum dicoccoides
Lineage: Eukaryota; Viridiplantae; Streptophyta; Magnoliopsida; Poales; Poaceae
Exons: 9
Source: RefSeq, a predicted model, not a curated record
CCUCCUCGAUCCCGAUCUGGAUCAAGGGGACGAGGAGCUCGUGCCUCCCCGACGACCGGCCUCCUCCUCGCCCCGCCGCUGCGUCCGGCGCCGCCACGGCCUCUGGAGCCAGGGAAGCCAUGGCCUGAGCUCGGCCUCGAGGUCCCCGCCGCCGUCUCCUGCAGAUUCUGCCCCGCCGCCUCGCCGCCCGAGCUCGCCGUCGCACCAACCUCGGCGCCGCGCCGACGUCGGCUCUGGUCGCCUCCACCUCCGCGCUGUGAGGAACCCACCACGCGCGUCAAGGCGAGGCGCCUCCUGGGCUCCGUCCGUUUCCAGAGCGAGCGCCCGUGAAUACCUAGCUAGCCGCCGCCGUCGUGAUCGUUCCAGCCAUCGCCAAGGUAAGGUGCUUUCUCAAUCUCGAUUUCCUUCCUUCCCCAUCAAGGUUAAUUUGGAUGCGUACUUAUGUGAUUUUGGUGUUGCUCAUUGGAUUUGUAUACGUACGUACGUGUGUCUUCGAUCUGCUUCGUUUAGAUACGUUGUUAAGUAAUUCACAUCUUCCCCGUUACGAUACGUGCAUGAUCUUGUCUUGUGCUCUUCUGCUCAUUGGACUGAUGCAUGAAGGACAAGAGCUUGCAUAGAGUUUUUAGUAGAAGACGACGUAAAUUGUGGUAUUGGCCGCAAUCUGGAAGUUCUUCAGAUCCAAAUCCUGCUUCAGAAAGUGUAUAUGAAGCAAAGGUCUGCACCUACAUGUUAUCAGAAGUCAGGUCUUAGACAAGGAAAGUGGCAGGAGUGAUGAAGAACUAAAACAUAGUUACAGUGGGCGUUUUUUAUAGGAACAAAACUGAAGAAUUUGACAUUAACAUAAUUUUAUUACUAAAUCAGGUGUCCCUGGUUUUGUUAGCAUCAGGACAUGUUGACCUAAUUGUCCAUGGUUACACUCAUCUUCAAACAGCACAACUUGUUUUGCUGCACAUCUUCUCUUACCAUAUGAUGAAUAGAACGACGGCGCCGACAUGGAUGACUCGGAGCUCAACCUUGUCAAGGGCCGCGAGCAGCGGCAACUUUCUUUUCCACGAGAAGAUGACCAAGGGCGCCAUCGGCCACUUUGUCUUCGCCGUCGAAGAGUCCAAGCUCGUCUCCGCAUCGGUUGCAUUGGUGCCGAUCAGGGAAAUGUGGACACUGGAUGAGCCUGUUAUACAAUACAGUCGCGCACCUCUAUCGCGUCGAGAAGGACAGGAAUUCUCAGGAGAGUUUUCUCCCUUUCGCAGGAUACACGAGACUGUGCGACGUCCGCUGGACAAAGCGGUUGGACUAUUUGAGACCGCUUGACAUGAUGUGGUUGGUCCGGCGCCGUUUUGCGGGUUUUCUUCAUGGGACGGCGCAGCGGCUUAGUGGGCUGUCCCCCCCCACACACAGUUGCAUCCUUACCCCUGACCCAUUGAUUCUUCCCCGUUUGCUUUGAAUUUGAUGUUCAACUAUAGGACUAAAUUUUGAAGUUUGUCUUGGUUUAUCUUGAAUUCCCUCUGACCCCUAAUCAUCUGUGUGUAGUAGAACUACUUGUCCUUCCCAUACCUCCACUAACUUUUUUCUUACUAUAUCAUAGUUGUUUGAUUAUUGGCAAAUAAAACAACAAUUAUUUACCUUAUCCUUUUUUAUCUGCAGAUUGGUCUAGCAACAUAGAGAGGAAGCUGCAAAGAAGCUCCAAGUGGAUGUAGAGGUACAUGUAUCUGUGAUUUUAGGACCACUACAACCAAAGUUUUCAUGAAAACUGCAGGGUUGCUUAAGAGGAACAAACAGUUCUUAAGUUCAUUACAUUAGAGUGGCUGCUCAGCUGUAAAUUAGUAAUACAUGCACAUAGAGACUAAUCUGCUAUGUUCAGUAGUAAUACAUCAAUUAAGUUCAGUACAUGGUUCGUGUAUUGCAUAUGAUGGUUCAGAUAUGGUUUAUUCCAUUCAGGCUAUUUUGCUAUGUUGUGAUGAGUUUGGGCAUUUGGAUGAAGAGAGCAAAUCAAUUAUGGAGAAGAAUUUUUGUGUGCCAUGGAUUUACCAUUGAUGAUUUAGACUUUAGUCUGCAUCAUCAUUGUAGUAUUAUAUUACUAAACACUUGAUUUUUCUUCAUUUAGACAUUUCUUUUUGGUAGGCACACCUAUGUCAACAUAUUGUGCCCUCCUUAAAUUCAGUUACAAGUACUUAUGUGUGUGUGAUGUUGCCUUCUCUUAUGAUGUGCUCAUAGGCCAAAGUGAUUUCUCCUCUCUUUAUCUGUAAAACUAUAACCCAACAUUCUUGGCCGCCCACCCAUGUUUGACUUGGUCUAUAUGGCAGUGUGCAGAAAGCCUGAGCCCAAGAAAACUCCAUUGUGGCUCACUGAUUCUGCUGAUAAGUCGUAUAAAAAGAGUCAUGUGCUAUCUAUUUAUUAUUAUUAUUAUAAGUUCAUCACUACCACUUUUACUUCUCUUUAUUGUUUUAUGUGCCUUUGUAUAAUAUGCUAUUAUAGGAUAUUUUCUUAUUCCAAUCAAAUCCAUAAUAUAGUUCAUCCUUACUAAAUAGUAGUGUCUACUUAACUAAUCUGUACUAAGAUCUGGUGGCUUUGGUAGUUUCAUCACUAUCUUGCACUUCUUAUAUAUAAGGCCUCUUUAGGAACUUCUAAAUUUUUAUUUUGUCAUUAGUGGUGUGGUGUGUCUGGUUAAAUUGGUGUUACUAAUAGCUUUCUUUCAGUUUUCUCUUCAAUUUCAGCUUGUGGAAUUUGAGGAGAAUCUGUGCACCAGCAUCCGACUCCUUGAUGUUGCUCUGAUCAUAUUGUGUAAAUAUAUUUCUAAUAAAGCAAUCGCCCGGUGGUGUACAUGUUAGAAAUAAAAAGAUGUAAUCAUCAAGUGUGAGAGAUGGCAACAUCAUAAUGGGAUGGUAUGUACUGUUGUGCUCAUCAAUAGGGGGAGCUCAAGGUCAUGGCGGGGCUUCGUUUUUUCUUGUAGAAAAGAGAGACAUAGGAGGAUCCAGGGAGGAGGAGAGGUAGGAGAAGAAGGACGGGGAAGUAGGAAGGGUGCAAUAGGGGUGAGUGUGCUUCCGCCUGCCACGCCCAAGGCUUGAUCUGCCGCCGCCUCUCCUCUACCCAUGCUGUCUGUGACACGUCAGAUCCCCAACUGCCGUCACUUCUCCUCUGCCCAUGGGCCAUGGCUGUUUUAAUGCAUCAAAUCCACUACAGAUCGAUCUGCUGUAACAUUGGCUGGGUGUUCUCUUCUCGACUCUACCAACACUCUGGAGUUACAAGCAAUUGCAUCAGGAGCUCGGUCAAAAAUCACCUAAGAAAAAUAUGUCAUUCUUCUCUACAAGGGUUGCAUGUGGAAUUUGAGGAGAAUCUGUGCACCAGCAUCCGACUCCUUGAUGUUGCUCUCAUCAUAUUGUGUAAAUAUAUUUCUAAUAAAGCAAUGGCCCGAUGGUGUACAUGUUAGAAAUAACAAGAUGUAAUCAUCAAGUGUGAGAGAUGGCAACAUCAUGAUGGGAUGAUGGAUAGACAAGUACCGAAGAUUGAUGCAAGCAAAACUAAAACCUGUCCAUGGAUUACCUUCAGUCCCGCAUUCCAAUCAACAACAUUGAGCCGAGCGAGCGCACGGGUGGCGCAAGAGGCAAUGGGCAGCCGGUGGAGACUGAGUGGUGAGUGGCGGUGGCGAGGUCGAGCGGUUGGCACCAGUGGCAAUUACCGUGACGGGUGAGCGGACGGGGCGAGUAGGUGUCACGAUUGCAUCACAAUUGGAAUAAAGUAAAAAAAUGCAUACAUAUGGCCAUUGACUGAUUUUGUGUGUUGUGUU